GAUUAACGCUGGCGGCGUGCCUAACACAUGCAAGUCGAGCGGCAGCGAGUUUUACACUGAAUUCUGGAAGCUUCUAGUUGAAAGAGAAGAUUUAUUCAAGAAUUUUGUGUAAAAUGUCGGCGAGCGGCGGACGGCUGAGUAACGCGUGGGAACGUACCCCAAAGUGAGGGAUAACGCAUCGAAAGGUGUGCUAAUACCGCAUAUGGUCUUCGGAUUAAAGCCUUCGGGCGCUUUGGGAACGGCCUGCGUAAGAUUAGAUAGUUGGUGGGGUAAUGGCCUACCAAGUCGACGAUCUUUAACUGGUUUGAGAGGAUGAUCAGUCAGACUGGAACUGAGACACGGUCUAGACUCCUACGGGAGGCAGCAGUGAGGAAUCUUCCACAAUGGGCGAAAGCCUGAUGGAGCAACGCCGCGUGCAGGAUGAAGGCCUUCGGGUUGUAAACUGCUUUUAUAAGUGAGGAUUAUGACAGUAACUUAUGAAUAAGGAUCGGCUAACUACGUG
RNAcentral lists this ribosomal RNA (502 nucleotides) under uncultured bacterium. RNAcentral's name for it is "partial 16S ribosomal RNA". It matches the Rfam family "Bacterial small subunit ribosomal RNA", at positions 28 to 507 of the family's 1533-position model. The record is from RNAcentral.